GCAAGUCGAACGGUAACGACAACUUCGGUUGGUCGACGAGUGGCGCACGGGUGAGUAACGCGUACACAAUCUGCCUUUGUCAGGGGGAAAGUCACUGGAAACGGUGCAUAAUCCCGCAUACCAUUCUUGAAUGGCAUCAUUUAAGAAUAAAAGCUUCGGUGGACAAAGAUGAGUGUGCGUCUGAUUAGCUAGAUGGUAAGGUAACGGCUUACCAUGGCGACGAUCAGUAGGGGGCGUGAGAGCGUGAUC
RNAcentral lists this ribosomal RNA (249 nucleotides) under uncultured bacterium. RNAcentral's name for it is "partial 16S ribosomal RNA". It matches the Rfam family "Bacterial small subunit ribosomal RNA", at positions 57 to 305 of the family's 1533-position model. The record is from RNAcentral.